This is a long non-coding RNA of Alosa sapidissima (American shad), 108 nucleotides long. RefSeq lists it as uncharacterized. The record is from RefSeq and is a predicted model, not a curated record. NCBI's taxonomy places the organism in Eukaryota, Metazoa, Chordata, Actinopteri, Clupeiformes, Clupeidae. The transcript has 3 exons.
AUUGAUACAUACUUCACACAUAUGUAAUUGAUACAACUCCAUUAGACAUAUGUAUAUUAAGUUCACAUUUUGGUGCCUUGAUCUAGUUCAUUGAUGUCAAUGACCUCA